Pan troglodytes (chimpanzee) is the source of this 84-nucleotide microRNA precursor. It matches the Rfam family "mir-548 microRNA precursor family". NCBI's taxonomy places the organism in Eukaryota, Metazoa, Chordata, Mammalia, Primates, Hominidae. The record is from Rfam.
UAUUAGGUUGGUGCAAAAGUAAUUGCGAUUUUUGCCAUUACUUUUAAUGGCAAAAACUGCAAUUACUUUUGCACCAACCUAAAA